This 514-nucleotide ribosomal RNA is filed under the name uncultured Bacilli bacterium. RNAcentral describes it as "bacterial SSU rRNA". It matches the Rfam family "Bacterial small subunit ribosomal RNA", at positions 65 to 560 of the family's 1533-position model. Lineage: Bacteria; Bacillati; Bacillota; Bacilli. The record is from RNAcentral.
AGCGGACCGACGGGAGCUUGCUCCCUUAGGUCAGCGGCGGACGGGUGAGUAACACGUGGGUAACCUGCCUGUAAGACUGGGAUAACUCCGGGAAACCGGGGCUAAUACCGGAUGCUUGAUUGAACCGCAUGGUUCAAUCAUAAAAGGUGGCUUUCAGCUACCACUUACAGAUGGACCCGCGGCGCAUUAGCUAGUUGGUGAGGUAACGGCUCACCAAGGCGACGAUGCGUAGCCGACCUGAGAGGGUGAUCGGCCACACUGGGACUGAGACACGGCCCAGACUCCUACGGGAGGCAGCAGUAGGGAAUCUUCCGCAAUGGACGAAAGUCUGACGGAGCAACGCCGCGUGAGUGAUGAAGGUUUUCGGAUCGUAAAACUCUGUUGUUAGGGAAGAACAAGUACCGUUCGAAUAGGGCGGCACCUUGACGGUACCUAACCAGAAAGCCACGGCUAACUACGUGCCAGCAGCCGCGGUAAUACGUAGGUGGCAAGCGUUGUCCGGAAUUAUUGGGCG